RNAcentral lists this non-coding RNA (81 nucleotides) under Arabidopsis lyrata subsp. lyrata. The record is from RNAcentral. Lineage: Eukaryota; Viridiplantae; Streptophyta; Magnoliopsida; Brassicales; Brassicaceae.
GCCGAGCUCAGUAACGUGAGCUUGUAACUCGAGUGAGGGCAAGUGGAGGAGUGAGUGAGUUGUUGGAGAAGAAGAAUCUUU